Molecule: non-coding RNA, 3113 nt
Organism: Pelobates cultripes (western spadefoot toad)
Lineage: Eukaryota; Metazoa; Chordata; Amphibia; Anura; Pelobatidae
Source: the annotation of a GenBank genome assembly
CAGGAAUGAAUAAGUAGAAAACUCCCAGCAGUCCCCCUGCAGCAGCUACGGCCACCCGGGCCCUCCAGGGCCAUGUGAUCACCAUCAUCACAUCGCCACAAUAGGAGUCUAUUUGCUGCCAGCAGGGGGACCCCUCGAGGCACUCAGUACAGGCAGAGCAUCGGAAGCCUGUUUGAAGGCGUGACAAGUUCACCUUUUUAAAGUGUGAAUGUUCAUAGAUUGUUUUGACAUAAAAUACAAGGAGUAAUAUAAAAUGACAUAAUUAAGCGAUUUUAGAAGUUGGUAUGUUUGUCUUGUAAACUUAGUAGCCAUGAGAGAAAAUACAAUUGCCAACAACUUUUCGCCGCCAGAGAUGUUCUUUCCCUUAUUUAGGGUGAUGCUGCAACAAUCACGAUAAUCCAAGUCACGGUAUAGCUGUUCCCUACAAACAUGUUUGUACGUGCUCUUAAUCUGUGUCCCUUGUUCGGGAGCUUGUUCCCACCGAACACCGCUCCUCUUAUGCGAACCCAAUCGAAGAUAUGGAUAGAUGGAAGUCCCCGCAGUGUUCGCAUUUGCGUUCCAUGCACUCGACGGCCAAACACCGCGGUAUGCAUUGACAGCUAAAGAUGGCCUACACCACGUCUUCGCUCAUACGAAUGACAGCCACCCAGCUGACCAUUCAGAACGUUGGGUUAAUUGGGGUUACUGAGGUGAGAACAAGGGUCAACAGGGUCAAUGAGCAGCACACAACACCCCUGGGUGGUCUGGCUGUUCAGCAGUUUGGUCGGUUUAUGAACUAGAUGGGUCUCAGAGGUUCAGUGAAUCCCAUAUACCGAACCACCCAGUGUAGCAAGUAACAGAAAUUAAAAGCGGGACAAUCCACGGAUAGGGGAUCUGUCACAGUGCUCCCUCCUUGUGGAACACUCAAGCAGACUCAGUUUUACCUUUUUCGGGUCAACUUGGGGAUGCCCGGGGUUUAUUCAGUUGGUGUUCUCUGUUUGCCAGGAGAACCCGUCGGCAUUGCCGUUUUGCUUCCCUGGUCGGUAGUGGAUGGUAUACUUGUAGGGUUGCAGGGCCAAACUCCACCGUAGUAAUAGGCCAUUAUCCCCUGCGACCCGGUUUAGCCACACCAACAUUUUGUGGUUGGUAAUCAAGGUGAAUUCUUGUCCGUACAAGUAAGGAGUCAAUUUCUGUAAAGCCUAAACCAACGCCAAGCACUCCUUUUUCAUUGCCGUGUAGCUCACCUCCCUGAGUAAAAAUUUCCUGUUGAAAUACGCUACAGGGUGCUCUCCUCCAUCUUCUCCAACUUAAAACGGCCCCCAGCCUGAACAUGGAAGCGUCUGUGUGGACAAUGAAAACGUUAGUUAGGGACUAGGGCAGCCAAGACAGGGGCAUUCACUAGAGCUUGUUUGAGAGACUGAAAAGCGGCUUAACAUGCGGGAGACCACAGGAUCUGCCUGGGUAAACUCUUUUUUGUCAGGUCAGUCAGGAUUUUAGCUAUAGUGCUAUAGUCUGGUACAAAUCGCCUGUAGUACCUGGUGGUCCCUAAGAAUGCUAAUAUCUGGGUCUUGGUGCAAGUGUGGGCCAGUUAGCGACCGCUUCUAUCUCAGCGGGUUCUGGCCGCUGUUUCCCACACCCCACCUGGUGUCCCAAGUACUGGACCACUGCCAUGCCAAGAUGGCACUUGUCCAGUUUCAGAGUUAGGCCUGCGGCCCGAAUCUUAUCUAGCACUGCCCCUAUAUGAACAAAGUGUUCUUCCCAGGACUCACUGUAGAUCACAGUGUUGUCCAGGUACGCACAGGCGAAAUCCUGGAAGCCAUCGAGGAGCCUAUCCACCAUGCGCUGGAAGGUGGCCAGGGCAUUCUUCAUCCUGAAUAGCAUGACUCUAAAUUGGUACAAGCCAAACGAGGUGAUGAAGGCCGACUUGGGGAUAGCCUCUUCGGCCAGGGGAAUCUGCCAAUAUCCCUUGCAUAAGUCGAUGGUGGUCAGAUACCGUCCCCUAGCUAUACGAUCUAAUAGCUUAUCUACCCGGGGAAUGGGAUACGCAUCGGUGGUGGUCCAAACAUUCAGUCGCCUGUAGUCUACGCAGAACCGGGUGGUCCCAUCUUUCUUUGGUACAAGAACCACAGGCGAAGCCCACAGGCUGUCAGAGUGCUCGAUAACCCCUAGGUGUAGCAUCUCUUGUAUCUCCUUCUGCAUUCCUUCUCGGACUGCUUCAGGGAUAUGGUAGGGGGGCUCUCGGAGCGGGGUUUGCCCUGGCAUCUCUACUUUGUGGGCCGCUAGGGUGGUAUACCAGGGCUCUUGGAAGAUCAUCAGUUGCUUUUCUGAUAGUAAUUGUCGGGCCUGUUCUGUCUCUAGGGUCGUUAACCGGUCUCGUAUUUUAACUGAGCUGAUUAUAUCGGCUUGGGGCUCUCUCUCUAAUAAGUCGGGUAGGGAAAGGUUCUCGGGGUCAUCCCCAGUUGGGGUGCAUACAGUGGCUAUAUCUUCCUGUCUUUUUUGGUAUUCUUUCAACAUAUUUAUAUGGAAGGCUCUUUGUAUCCUUUCAUCCGCAUAGCUUGUGACUACAUAGGUGGUGUCACAGAGUUGCUCUACUACUUUGUAGGGGCCCUGCCAGGCGGCUUGCAAUUUGUCCUUUUUGACUGGCUUUAGCACAAGUACCUUUUGUCCCACCUGGAAUGUAUGCUGCCGCGCACCCCUAUCGUACCAACCCUUUUGUCACCCCUGGGCUGCCUGGAGGUUCUCCUUUAUCAUCCUGGCCAACUGCUCCAUGAGGUCCCGGAACGACAACACAUACGGCACAAUGGGAAUUCCCUUGUGUUCUUUUUCCCCUUCCCAGUGUUCUCUGAUAAGAUCAAGGGGACCACACAGGGCCGUCUUUAAGGAGGGGCAAAAGGGGCAGCUGCCCCGGGCCCAGUUACUCCUUGGGGCCCCUGCAGCACCUGAGGUAAUCAGGGGCCACAGCCCUUUAAUACUGCUCUGGACCGGGCCCUUGUAAUAUGGGGGUUGGCUGAAUACAAACACACAGCUAGCCCCUCACACACUACCCUGUGAUCCCUCUUCUUCUCCGUGGCAUGCUGGGAGGCAGUGAGGUCAGAUCACUUCCUCCUCAGUGCCCUGGGGAGGAGGCACACACC